CUUGACAUCCUAAUCUUUCCAACGAGUGGUCGUUUACUCAAAACGGAUAUCGUUUGAUAUUUUAAUUAAAGUGCGAAAGUUAAGGUGUUGUUGCUAUGUUUGUGCAGAAAAACUGAUUUUAAAAGAAUAAUCUUGAUUCCUUUUGUCAAAAGUGUUUUCAAUUAUAUGAAAUGUUUUAAUUUACUUUGAUAUUUUCACUUAGCUUCAUUGUGUUGAUUCCAAUUUUUUGUUUACUUUCUUAAAUGGCAAGAUGAAAUAAUUUGUUUAUAAUCAUAUAUAUAUUAACUCAAUCAAUGUACCAAUCAUAUUUUCAUUUGUAUGUUUUACUAAUGAAUUUUGAAAUAAUGAAUAUGAAGUGAACCAAACACUAGCUACUUUAGGCUUCUUUGGAGUUGAGAAGNNNNNNNNNNNNNNNNNNNNNNNNNNNNNNNNNNNNNUGUUCUCAAUAUCUCAUCUUGAUAUCCUUCAUUCAAUAAUUAGGUGACUAAUCUACCACAUCUUUCUAACAUCACAUGCAACCUUCCUUUCAUGAUCAUAUGAUGCCAUCAUUACUUCUCUAUCAUCAUUAUAUCUAUUACUAGCUAUUGUUAUCAUGAUUAUCCCUAUUACUAGCUAUCAUAUAAUGAUUAUACCUAUUAUCUUUAUUUCUUGCUUCAUGUGACAUGUGUAAAGAAGUGAAGAGACAAGUGGCAUCAUGCAUGUAUGCCAAUGAAUAAGUGUCUUCAUAGAUGAAUUCAUUAACCCUAUGUAAACCAACUCCUCCUAAAACUACAUUCACACACUAAUUUUACCAUCAUUGUAACUUAUCAUUAAUAAAUUAAUAACUUAUGACUAAUCUACCACAUCUUUCUAACAUCACAUGCAACCUUCCUUUCAUGAUCACAUGAUGCCAUCAUGGCUUCUCUAUCACAUUAUAUUUAUUACUAGCUAUUCAUAUCAUGAUUAUCCCUAAUACUAGCUGUCAUAUCAUGAUUAUACCUAUUAUCUCUAUUUCUUGCUUCAUGUGACAUGUGUAAAGAAGUGAAGAGACAUGUAUGUCAAUGAAUAAGUGUCUUCAUAGAUGAAUUCAUCAACCCUAUGUAAACCAACUCCUCCUAAAACUACAUUCACAUACUAAUUUUACCAUCAUUGUAACUUAUGAUUAAUAAAUUAUAUUUUAAAUUUUCUUUUAAGUAAUUAGUCUAUUUUUUUUAUGUAGCAUUUUUUAAUUUGAAUUUAUGUUUAGCAUGUUAGUUGUUUAUGUGUCAUUCACAUGAUGCAAUGAUUUCAUUGUUAUGAAUUCUAUUGGCAUGACUUCUUUAUCAAUUCUAUUGAUUGCAUGUAUUCUUGGAACUUGCUAUCAUGUCCUUCAUAAAAUUCUUAUCAUGCAAUCAUUCCUCCUACCUAUACCUAUAUUUUGAAUAGUACUCAUAUGUCCCAAAUAGCACUCAUUUGUCCCAAAUUACAAAUAGUAACCUUCUUUCAAAUAGUAACAUAGAGUACUCCUUUGUCCCAAAUUAGGAAUAGUAACCUAUAUAUUCUCAAAUAAUAACUUUCUUCCUAUAUAUUAAAGGUUUUUUUUUCCUGAAUCUAAAUUCCCUAAUCAUUUCAUUUUUUGGUUUUAAAUCUAACAAUUCAUGUGUCCAUAAUAAGUACCUUGAUAGUAAUCGUAUGAUGCAUUUUACAAAGGUAAACUCUAAUUUAGAUUUGUUAAUAAUGCUAAGUUGUAUCACUAUAUCUAAAUCAUCAUGAUUAUACAUUUUCUUUGUUAUAAAGGUUAUCAAAGCUUAUAUGCUAAGGAUUCGAACAACUUCAAUUGUACCAUAGUCUUUUGGAUCAUCACAAUUUGAUUGAAUUGUAAGUAGAAAUUAUCUCAUAGUCUUUUGUGAUGAAGCAUUGUGAAUGAUGUCUUAUUUAGAAAUGUCACAAAGAAAGAAUGGCUAUCAGAAAUUACAUUUGUUGAUUUGGUUAUUUCAGGGCCAUUUAAAGGAGAAAAAUGGAGCAUGUUUGGUGUGAAUAUAAUUGGGUGGUGGUGCAUAUCAAUCCAAUACAACAUGUCAUAUUAGUUUUUUC
Molecule: long non-coding RNA, 2052 nt
Filed under: Trifolium pratense (red clover)
Lineage: Eukaryota; Viridiplantae; Streptophyta; Magnoliopsida; Fabales; Fabaceae
Description: long non-coding RNA (TPRA_LNC002538)
Source: RNAcentral